This 1284-nucleotide long non-coding RNA is filed under the name Fukomys damarensis (Damara mole-rat). RNAcentral's name for it is "lncRNA (ENSFDAG00000025316.1)". Lineage: Eukaryota; Metazoa; Chordata; Mammalia; Rodentia; Bathyergidae. The record is from RNAcentral.
CUUACAGUGUCUUCCUUUCCUGCGAGUCAAAGGGACAUCCUAUCCUGGCUUCUGCUGUCUCCUAGUUGGUGACAUGGUCUCCCUGGUGAGCCUUGGCCAUUCCCUGCGUGAGGCUUCCAGUUCCUGCUUCCCAGAGCAGCUUGUGUCAGGAGCUGGCUAGUGUCUGGUGUGCAGUUUGCGGGGAGGCCACUGGGGCUCUGCAGGCCCCUUUGGAGACACCACUCCCACCCUCAUGGCAUCUUGGUGCAUCCUCCACGCUGAAGAGAGAGCCCUGCCCCCUGAACAGCUGACCCUCAAGACUCCAGUUUGUCCUAGGCCUGGCCACCUCGUCCUUCUGGAGGAUCCUGGACCCAAUCUUCAGAGAGGUCACCACACUGCAGCCUCACCAUGCAGAAUGACUGCUUUCACUGGACCCUUGGGUGAGAUGGACAUACAGAUGGACCUGAGGCUGGAGAAGCCAGGCCAUACUUUGCCUGAGAACCUGACCCACUCCUAGCUUUGCUGUCUGAAUCUGCAUGAAUCGGGCCCUUUAGAUUCCUUGGUUGUGGACAGGGAUGGAGGAGAGAUGAUAGUAUCAAACACUGUGGAGAGGUAGCAUGUGCCAGCUGCUCUUCCAGGAACUGUUCUAGUGUUCCUUGAUCCGACCGCAGCAGAAGGCUUUGUGCUUUUCUCAAGUUCACCGUGAGCUGCACAGAUCAGGGGAAUUUGCUCUUUUAUAGAUAAGGUAGCUGAGGCUAAAGCUCAAAGAUGCAGAAUUGAAACCCACAUCUGAGACCUUCCUUUCUUCCUAUCUACCGAAAGAAGAAGAAGAAUGGAAAGGGAAGAAAGAAAGGAAGGAAGGAAAGAAAAGAAUGAAUGAAUUUCUAUGGACUUCUAAAUGACUGGCACCUCCCUUCACUUCUGCAGUCCAGAGAGAUGGGCAAGUGUCCUGGCUUGUCACUACUGCUUCCCAGUGGAGCCGUGACUGUGAAGAUGAACACACAUGGGCAGAGAUGGGCUGAGGUGGGCGGGCAGGCUGCCAGACCUUGGAGAGAACACCGGCAAAAUGUGUAGUGUUAAUUGUCUAGAAUAACUCUUACAUAGAUGUACCUGAAAAUGAGAAUGUAAAACAUGGGCUUUGUUGUUCCUUAGCAAAGACUAAAGACCUGCUUUCAGGAGUCAAGCCGAACCUUUGUUGCUCUUUCCUUUCCCCGUGGGCCUUAGAAUAUUCUUGGAAAAUCAGCAUUGGAUGUGAAAGGGGCCUGCACUUAGCUAGUGGGGAUGGCUUGGAAGAAAUGCUGGCCA